This is a long non-coding RNA of Glycine soja, 1602 nucleotides long. RefSeq lists it as uncharacterized. NCBI's taxonomy places the organism in Eukaryota, Viridiplantae, Streptophyta, Magnoliopsida, Fabales, Fabaceae. The record is from RefSeq and is a predicted model, not a curated record. The transcript has 2 exons.
AAACCGAGUACGGGAAUUGUUAAAGCCUCCUAAUUAUUAAUUAAUAUUUUCAAAAUUCAAAAAACGGGUACGGGAAUUGUUAAAGACUCCCAAAUUAAAAGUGAUUUCCAAUGUAUAGGAAGAGACGUAAUGUAUACGAAGAGACAUAACUAAAAGCGGUUUCCAAUGUGUAAUAACUUAUUCGACAACUACAUUGUGUAUUUACUAAAGCUCAAUCAAUACAAAUUAUAAAAUCUCGGGUAUAUCAAAUCAUAACCAACAGUUAUCCACAUUUCUUUUCUCAUUUCUCCAAGAACAUCACUCAACCCUUAACAGUAUGAGUACACAAUCAUCAAUCUUCUCUAAUGCGGUAAGUUCUUUAACAUUCUAAUCCUUCCUCUUUUCUUUCUUAUUUAUGUUUAACUUUUGACAUUUGUUUCAUCAGACAUCCUUACAAUGAUGAUACUCUAUUUUACACUUUGUUCUUCAUUUCAUGGUUAUUAUAUCUAUAUUAUAUGUUUAUGCUGAAUAUAGACUACAUAUUCACGGUGAUGUUUGUAACACGUUUUCAUUGCAUCUUUAACAUUUUAAUCCUUCCUCUUUUCUUUCAUAUUUAUGUUUAACUUUUGACAUUUGUUUCAUCAGACAUCCUUACAAUGAUGAUACUCUAUUUUACACUUUGUUCUUCAUUUCAUGGUUAUUAUAUCUAUAUUAUAUGCUUAUGCUGAUUAUAGACUACAUAUUCACGGUGAUGUUUGUAAUUCUGUCGACUAGGGUAUUCAUCAUGUUAUCAUGCCUAUUUUGGUAUAUUGUAUGUCAUUUGUGUGUUGUUUCUUAUAUGUGUUUGUUCCUUAUAAAUUGGUUAUUGACUUAUGUUUGUAUGCCUAAUAUGGACGGUUUUCACGUUUUUCAUCAUUACCUUCCAUGGUUUCUGUUAUGUUUUUUUAUCUAUCUUUAUGUAUAUUUAUGUAUAACUUCAUUAUAGGUUGUUUGCAUUUUGGAAUCGAUUUUUGUGCUUUCGUAUAUGUUGUUUUCUUAUUUUGUUCUGUAACUAAUUACAUUCAAUGCUGUGCUAUAGGGCCCAUCAAAUUCGAUGGCAAGAACACGAUUUACAGCAACAUUUCGUGUUCACAAGAACAUCAUUGAAGUUCCGUUGACUUACCAUAGACAAUGGAGACUAUAUUACCCAACUUAUGUUUUAUUUGACUACAAUGGAACCAAGCAUUUUGUUAAGGUGUGCAAAUAUGGCACACGAUGCUUUUUUGCUGAUGGGCUGAAAGAGUUUAGAAGAACCCACGACAUUAAUGACAGUGUCACAAUGGUCUGCCAUCUGUUGCAGAUCCAUGGUUCCAAUACCUCUCUGAAAAUAAUUUAAUGGCAGGAGAUGAAGUUAUGUUCUUCUUUAGGUUUGACGAACAUGUAUGGGAGGUCAUAUUUAGGAAACAAGUUAUAUGGGAUGAAGACCUCCCGGUUUGAAAGACCAUGCCUAAAGUUGAUGACUUUUUUUGUUUCAAUUUUAUUUAUAUUUUGAUUAAUGUUGUUAAUCCAAUACCUUAGGGUAUUAAACAAUUUCUUUGAUUUUCUGCUGCACAGAGUUAAUGGUUAUCAACUUAUUAUGUUCAA